RNAcentral lists this ribosomal RNA (1119 nucleotides) under uncultured Basidiomycota. Its description in RNAcentral is "eukaryotic LSU rRNA". The stretch from base 684 to 1119 matches the Rfam family "Eukaryotic large subunit ribosomal RNA", at positions 1 to 429 of the family's 3401-position model. The record is from RNAcentral. Lineage: Eukaryota; Fungi; Basidiomycota.
CUUGGUCAUUUAGAGGAAGUAAAAGUCGUAACAAGGUUUCCGUAGGUGAACCUGCGGAAGGAUCAUUAUUGAAUAAACCUGAUGGGUUGCAGCUGGUUCCUUCGGGUGCAUGUGCUCGCCUGUCAUCUUUAUAUCUCCACCUGUGCACACUUUGUAGACCUGAAUAAAACUCUCCGAGGCAACUCGGGUUUUGGAGGAAUUGCUUCAUCAGCUGUCCUUGAAAUUUUCAGGCCUAUGUUUUUUUCAUAUACCCCAUUGUAUGUAACAGAAUGUCUCAAAUGGGCCUUGUUGCCUAUAAAACAAAUACAACUUUCAGCAACGGAUCUCUUGGCUCUCGCAUCGAUGAAGAACGCAGCGAAAUGCGAUAAGUAAUGUGAAUUGCAGAAUUCAGUGAAUCAUCGAAUCUUUGAACGCAACUUGCGCUCCUUGGUAUUCCGAGGAGCAUGCCUGUUUGAGUGUCAUUAAUUUCUCAACCUUUAUCAGCUUUUUGUUGGUAAAUGGCUUGGAUGUGGGGGUUUUUGCGGGUUUCUUCAAUGAGAUCGGCUCCUCUGAAAUGCAUUAGCGGUACCUUUGCGGAACCGUCUAUUGGUGUGAUAAUUAUCUACGCCGUGGACAUCUGCUUUGAAUAGGUUAUGCUGCUUCUAACCGUCCCUUUGCUGGGACAAUUUAACAAAUGACAAUUUUGACCUCAAAUCAGGUAGGACUACCCGCUGAACUUAAGCAUAUCAAUAAGCGGAGGAAAAGAAACUAACAAGGAUUCCCCUAGUAACUGCGAGUGAAGCGGGAAAAGCUCAAAUUUAAAAUCUGGCAGUCUUCGAUUGUCCGAGUUGUAAUCUAGAGAAGUGUUAUCCGCGUUGGACCGUGUACAAGUCUCCUGGAAUGGAGCGUCAUAGAGGGUGAGAAUCCCGUCUUUGACACGGACUGCCAAGGCUUUGUGAUGCGCUCUCAAAGAGUCGAGUUGUUUGGGAAUGCAGCUCAAAAUGGGUGGUAAAUUCCAUCUAAAGCUAAAUAUUGGCGAGAGACCGAUAGCGAAACAAGUACCGUGAGGGAAAGAUGAAAAGAACUUUGGAAAGAGAGUUAAACAGUACGUGAAAUUGCUGAAAGGGAAACGCUUGAAGU